GCCUAGCUGGCUUAGUCAGUGAAGCUUGAGACUCAUAAUCUCGGGGUUGUGAGUAUGAGUCCCAUUCUGGGUG
Molecule: transfer RNA, 73 nt
Filed under: Mustela putorius furo (domestic ferret)
Lineage: Eukaryota; Metazoa; Chordata; Mammalia; Carnivora; Mustelidae
Rfam family: tRNA
About the family: Transfer RNA (tRNA) molecules are approximately 80 nucleotides in length.
Source: Rfam by way of RNAcentral